RNAcentral lists this ribosomal RNA (405 nucleotides) under uncultured bacterium. Its description in RNAcentral is "bacterial SSU rRNA". It matches the Rfam family "Bacterial small subunit ribosomal RNA", at positions 29 to 458 of the family's 1533-position model. The record is from RNAcentral.
AGCGAACGCUGGCGGCAGGCUUAACACAUGCAAGUCGAGCGGGCACUUCGGUGUCAGCGGCAGACGGGUGAGUAACACGUGGGAACGUACCCUUCGGUUCGGAAUAACGCUGGGAAACUAGCGCUAAUACCGGAUACGCCCUUCUGGGGAAAGGGUUUACUGCCGAAGGAUCGGCCCGCGUCUGAUUAGCUAGUUGGUGGGGUAAGUGGCCUACCAAGGCGACGAUCAGUAGCUGGUCUGAGAGGAUGAUCAGCCACACUGGGACUGAGACACGGCCCAGACUCCUACGGGAGGCAGCAGUGGGGAAGUAUUGGACAAUGGGCGCAAGCCUGAUCCAGCCAUGCCGCGUGAGUGAUGAAGGCCUUAGGGUUGUAAAGCUCUUUUGUCCGGGACGAUAAUGACGGU